Molecule: unclassified non-coding RNA, 177 nt
Filed under: uncultured Agaricomycetes
Lineage: Eukaryota; Fungi; Basidiomycota; Agaricomycetes
Description: sequence contains ITS1
Source: RNAcentral
UAGAACAUUUUGGAUCGAAGGUUGUCGCUGGCCCGGCGGGCAUGUGCACACCUUCGUUUGUCCCACUCAUCCCCUUGUGCACCUCUUGCCAGGCCGAGGAAAAAUCGGUCUCGCGUUUAUCUAUUCAACACCCUAGAAUGUUUCUGCGUUGGCCACGCCAACGAUAAAUUACAUUAA